UAUAAGACAACCUACCCCGAAAUUGUGAAUGGUUCUUUAAACCCCCUUAUAACUCGCUCGGUUAUUUAUUAAUAUUUGGAAACCCCUGGUAAUUUUAGAGGUUAUACAUGGGUUAAUUCGGGGCUUUUUGGAGAAGCUGCACAUUUUAGAUUCAAAACCAAUUUGCGUAGCAGAAUUUGGAUGACUCAUGAUAAACUAACGGAGCGCAUGACUUGUGUUGGCGGCGCAUCGUUCAAGUUUCUUCCCUAUUAGCUUUUUACGGUAGGGUAUUGGGCUCCCGCGGCGCUUAUGGGGGACGGAGAAAUAGGGGGGGACUCCCGAGAGGGGGGCCGCGAAAAGGCGGCCACCUCUAAAGAAGGCAGCAGGCGGGUAAA
Molecule: ribosomal RNA, 374 nt
Filed under: uncultured Syndiniales
Lineage: Eukaryota; Dinophyceae; Syndiniales
Description: partial 18S ribosomal RNA
Rfam family: Eukaryotic small subunit ribosomal RNA
Source: RNAcentral